CAUGUAUUUAGCAUCCCCAUGCUUUUGAAUGGCAGCAGGGGCACUUUAACUAAAGCUUGUCAAACAAGCACAGGAUGCUGAAUACAUGAGAUGCUGCUGGAGAGCUGUUCUAAUUAAAGCACCUCCCACCCCACCCCAGACCACAUGUAAAGAUACCCUUUAACUCUAGGAUCUUUGUGGUUCAUUCUAUUGAAGUAUUUCUACUAAAGGUUACUUUGUUGCUUUUUGGUGAAAUUUUGUGUCUUAAUGACCUGGAGCCUAGGCAUGUGAUUACAAGAAAAUUAUGCUUUCAUUUUAAAAUAAGUAAAUUUCUAGCUUCAAGAUCAAUGAAGAAAAGCUGAAAAAUUGAAAAUUAAAAGCUCAAAACUCAAAAGGAUAAAUACAAAACACCAAAGUGCAUUAUUUUUAAGAACUCUGAUUUUUUUAAGCUAAUCUCAUGAUUUUGGGGGCUUGAUCCAUGACUUAUGAAUGCUCGAGGCUGAGAGGAUUUAUUGUGAGCUGUUGAUCUAUAAUGGAACUGAAAGGAAAGUAGAAAGAAAGGGAAUUUUCUGGAUAUUUAUUACUGUGUAGCCUUAAAACAAAGCUUUGCAAAGAAACUGGAAGAGUAUGAUUUUGAACAGCAGUAAGCCAGGCAAUCCAAGCAUCUUCAGUGAGGAAGAAAUUAGGCUUUUUAUGGAGUUAAGGAACUCUUAUUAUUGUAAGUUAUUAAAAGCAGUUGAUAGGCAAGCUAAACAGUGUAAUUAAUACAAAAGAAUGAGUAAGCACACUGACCAUAAAAGGAAGCAUGCUGCUCAGGACAAAAAUAUGAGGAUUUGGAAAAAUACAGUGACUAUUCCUGGACCUUCAUGUGCCCUGAGGGUACUUACAGAAGAAAGAAAUGCUUUGAAGAGAAGGUUUGGGCUUUUUAAAAAGCAUGGAAGAAAAAGUCCACAGAGAGUUUUAUGAUGUCACUGUACAUUUUUAAACGCAGAAAGCAAGAGUUCUCUGAGUUUUGGACACCCAAACAGAUGAUAAGUAUAUGUGUAAUGUUACCUAAUUUUUUUGCCUCAGUUUACAUCCAUAUAUUUGGUUUUCCACAGAGGAAUCUUUAAUGUAGGCUACCGGAUAUCAUAUAGGACAUAAUAGAGUUUUGAUAGAAACUCUAUUGCAGUGACCAUCUUUGAAUAAAAUCCGAUUUUAAUUGAUAAAUUACUGAAGUUAUUUGUAAUACCAACAGAUUUCCUUGUCAGCCAAACUCUCCUUUUCCUUUUCUUUGCAAAAUCUGUAUUUUGUAGUUCUUUUCUAAGAUCUCCAGAAGAGAAUAUUAGUGGAUUAUGUUUACAUCACAUUUGGGAAUUUCUCAGUAUUCACCUCUUAUGUACUUUGUCUUACAUUUAGAACUAUAGCACACCCUGGUGGUUAUUUGCUACCAUUUCACUUUGCUCUUGCAUAUUAGUUGUCGGUGCCUAAUAGAGCAACCUUCAGAAUAUGGUCUUUUCUUAGCUUUGCUUUAUGAAACAACUAAAAGGAAAGGAAGGACAGGGGUCAAAUGGCUCAAUUGAUAUAGUCCAGGAGAGUGGCUGUUUAGAAGUUUCUUUAUUAAGUUCAUUUUCUAAGUUAAAAUACACAUUCCUAGGUCAUACUAUGGCAUCAGUUUUAAGCAGGAAACUCACAAGAUUGAACAACAUAGUAUGCCCUGUAAAUUACAUUUCCCCAUAAAGAUACCUUUUUUGUAAAUUCUGUUUCUAUUGGAGCAAAUGUUCUUAGGUGAUUAGGGCAAAGGGUAAUUAAAAGUUCACGUUCUAAAUAUAGCUUUAAUGCUAAAUCACAAGGGAGACAAGGUUUUUUGGGUAAACCCGAUAUCUUUUAUUAAAAUAAAUAGUUAGGAAAAUUCUUCUUUGGAAGCUUUCAGGUAUUGUACAAAUACCCUUCAUCAGGCUGAGGAAGUGUCUGUCUGUAGUUGGUCUGUGCUCUUCUUGGAUGGAAUAGCAAAGAAACAAGGGAUUAAUUCUGUCAAAAUGCCUCACUACCUUUGUGACAGUCAAGUUCAGUCAAAUAACUGCCGAUGUGCAGAGUCAUGACCUAAGUCAUGAGGGAAUAUGUUGGUGAUGUUUUAGAAUAAUAUAGGCAAAUAAAAUCUCAGAAUAGCCCAAUUCAGUGGCUUUUGAAUUGUCUUCAUGGAACUGAGAAACUAUGAAUGCCUGCUUUUACCGUGUGUGACACCCAUGGAAAAUUUGAACAUCACAGGCCUGCUUCUCCUGUGAGUGAUUUCUGUUAGUUGCAUAGUGGCAAAAGAAAAUGCCGUCACAGAACAAUAAACCACCACGGAUAAGGGCAGACACUCAAAAAGCCAGAUCAAUUCCACCUUGAAUUUAUACAGUUUUCUGUAAGAGGCCUAUGUUAGAUUGGUAGUGAACAGUACACCCCAGGGGUUUUCAACCUUUUAUGGUUGGUGUACCCCUGGCAGUCAGUCGAGAAGCAGGGAGUCCACCAGCUGGUCAAAAAACACAGGGCAGGGGUCCCCUGGCAGUCGAUCGACGACCAGGGGGAGGGGUCCUCCACACGUAGCAGUGAAACCAGAAGCACCAAUGGGCAACCCAGAAGCACGAGCAGCGCAAUUGGAUAUGCCCCAUGCUUCUCUGUGCUGCUGCUGCGUACCACCCGGGGGCUUCCAACGUACCCACCCCCAGAGGUACAUGUACCCCUGGUUAACAACCUCUGGUAUACACAUAUGCCCUUUGAUGGGGGGGGCACACAGGCUGCCUGCACUGGCUGAAGCCAGAAGGUUGGGAGCACGCCUGUAUUCCUCCCAGCAGACCCUGCAGGCUCCUUUGGCUGCUGGAGACUGCUGAGCACCCAGGCCAUGCCUGAUUGCCUUGGGCAAGCAUGCCCCGCUACCCCCACCCUAUUACUCUGGGAUCCUGUAGCUGUGAGCCAAAAAAGUAUUGCAGCACACCAAGUGCCCAUGGCUGAGUAUCUGCCAGCAGUGGCUGAGCUACAGAGGUCACAGGGUUGCCUCUGUGCAGGCCCAGUCCUGAUGUUCUGCCCCUUCCCCCCUGACCCACUAGAGGUAAGCUGCUUGCACUGGCUCCUACUCAGGUGGGGAGGGGUCCAUACUGGGGUCCGGGUGGCAGGUUGCCUGGCUCUGCCCACUGACAUGUGGUAUGUGAGAGCCAGGGUCAGGCUUUGUGAGGCUGUGCCCGAGCACAGGGACAUGGGGGUCCCUGGCUGAGUGUGCUGUGCACAAGCAUGGGGUUAGAGGGUCUCUGGCUGGAUGUGUGGGAGCCAGGGUUGGGGGGGUCUAUGGGUCUGUGCCUGAGCAUGUGGGGCUGUACCCAAGCACAAGGACAUGGGGUUUCCUGGCUGGCUAUGCAAGAGCCAGGCUUGCACUCCAUUAGGUUGUGCCCAAGCACAGGGAUUCUCCUGGGCUCAGUGUCAGGUGUGUAUGUACAGCACAGGUACUUAAUUACAAGUUCAGGAGCACAGCCUGGGGACUAGGGAUCCAGGUCCCAGGGUUUGUGCAGGAGACACAGAUGCCUCCCUCCCUCCCCCCAUCACUGCCUGCCUGUAGCUGACAGGUGGCUGGAGGCAGGAGGUGGGACUGAGGAAGGUGCCUGUUCUGACUCAGCUCUGGGAAAGCUCAUGGCCCACUAGGCACUCAGCCAUAGCAGCUGAGUGCAGGCCAAAUGCUAGCAUGCCUCCCUGAGAAGGAGUAGCAGUAGGUGCCACAAAAAUGGUUGGGAUGGUUGGGGACAGCAAUCUAACUUGGGAUCUAGUACAAAAGUUCAAUUCACCAGUAUAACCUAAACCAAUUACAUUUGAAUUCUAUCUUGAACCUGGUCUAUUUUAGACCAAGUUCUGCAUUUUUGGACUGGUCUAUGUGCACCACACUUUCGCAGGAUUAUGGGUUUAGAAUGAUCUCCCAUCACUUAGAUUAAUUUAUGUGUAAUGUCUAUACUUGGCCCAAGUCUCUAAUUGCUGGGAUAAUGACUUAAUUAACUUGUUUCUCUUUCCAAAGAGUUAUGCCAAGUAAGAAAUGUGUACGUACUAAAAGAACAGGCCUAUAAACAGAGUAUUAUUCGUAUGUUAUGGGCUAAAAUUAUAGCUGUUGGGUGGGUCAGGUAGGGAAGUAAAAGUAUAUCUCCUUUGCAUGGAGAUAACAGGGUAGGAUCCUUUUAUAGCAGAGGCAGGCAAAAUACGGCCCAUGGGCCUCAUCUGGCCCACCAGGCCAUUCAAUCCAGCCCACAGAGCCCCUAAAAAAAUUUAGUAAAUUAAUAUUUAUUUGCCGCAGUUCUCUUUCAAAGCUGGCUGGAGUCAGGGGCAGUAGGACCCAGAGGGAGCCCUCAGCAGGCUUGCAGGCUUGAGCAGCCCAGCCCUGCCCACCCCCAGCUGGUUCCCUGCUUUCCUGCCCCUGCCCUGCUCCAGCACCACGUGGCUGUGGCUCCUGGCUGCAUCCCCAGACCUUGCUGGUAGGGGUGUGUAUGUGUGUGCGUGCAUGUCUUGGCAGGCACCAGGGCAGAGUAUGUAUCUGCAGGCACAGGGGCAGUGUGUGUGUGUGUGUGUGUGUGUGUGUGUGUGUGUGUGUGUUCAUAGGGUGAGUCCCACAUGCACACCCCUCCAUAUGCCUCCCCUAGCACUGCCAUACACAAACCCCAGCCACCCUCCCUCCAUUGCCCCCCCACAUACCCAUACACCCACAGCUCCCACAAACCUAUACCCACCCCCCACAAUAUACAAGAGUAAGACUUCAUUUUAAGCUAUUAUGCAGUCACUUCUGCGUACACUACACAAACACAUGUAAAUCAGGACAAAAAUAUUUUUUGAAAACAAAUUCAUUAAUGUUGUAGAUGAUCACUUUUUAGAAUAUAAUUUGGUAUUUUUCUGGUUCUGAGAUGGCAAAACCCCUUGCUGAAAGGAGUACUUCCAGGGGCAAGGGGAGGGACUCCUGGUGGCAAAGGUCAGGGGUUAGGGGGUGGAACUUCUGGUCACAAGAUGGCGACCAGGGGGCAGGGCACCUGUCAAGGGGCAGGGCUACCCAGGCAGCCCUUGACAACUUGCCAAAACUUAGUAAGUGGCCCUCUGCCCGAAAUAGUUGCCCGCCCCUGUUUUAUAGCAUUCAAGGCAGUGCAGUGAUAAACACUGAAUCUAUCUAGUUUAUGCUUCACGAUGGCCCUUAAACAAGUCUUGUACAUUUUGUACCUUAUCUGGCUGGCACCCAUUAGCUCAUGAGCUGCUAAUAGUUAGGAACAAGAAACUCUUUGCAAUAGGUACAGGCACUGUGGAAGAGAAGCAGGAAGUUUACAGACAUAAUCCUGCUCUGCAGCUGUUCUUUCUUACUUGGAUUUACUGCCACUAUUUCUUCCCUGCCUUUGACCCUUUGCUAUUUAUUUAUUUUGAGGCUUAUGACAUUUACUGUUUCCUUUAAAGUUUUCCCACUCUUAAAAUUAUGCUGUUGUUUGAAAAACUCAGCUCUCAGUUAAAAAAACAACAAACCCCGCAUAAAUUUUUGACCUGGUGGUUGAAAAUGUGAUCCCUAAAAGCUCAAAAUCCAGAAGCCACAUAUACAGCCUCAGGAUUUUUAAGCCAACAUCAUGAUUAUUGCUGCUAACUCAUGUUUUGAAUGCCCAGGGAUGGCACUUCAAUUGUCUUCAUUUCUCUCCUAAUUAGACUGAGAUGGAGGAUGAGUAAAACUCUCCCUAUAUUCAGCCUACAGCCUCCUCCUAUAGUCAGUCUCACUUGUCUCUAUCUUUCACAUAGGGCUAUGGAAUAGAAGAUCUCUUGCAUUUUGAUUUCCCACCUGUGUGAGGAGGAUGUGAAGAUCCUACCUUUCUCUCCACUGGAAAGAGGAAGGAGAGAAAAGAGUCCAGCACUCAGAAAUCCAGCACCAUCCUGCCAAUAGAUAUAUGUCCUACUUUAAAACUUUAACGGGAAUCACCAUGGGUAGAGAGAAAGAAGAAUAAGCUAGACAAGGGGCAGCGAAACCCUAUCCCAUGGGCCAGAUCUGUCCCAUGGAGCCAUGGUAUCCAGUCCACAGGGUUCCCUACAGGUUUGAAAAUACAGCAGCAGAGGGGAGUGGUGGCACCAAUUGCCACUCCCCUGCUGCCAAAUUUGUGGCCGUGUGAGGAGCCCUCCGGUCAGGUUGGAUUGGUGCAUGGAGAUGGCUCAGGGCCAAAUCCAGGCACAUGGCUGACUAGAGGUAAUGCGGGCUCCAAUCCAGUGGCACAGACCCCAGGAAGCUGGUGCAGGGACUUGGUGCAGCAAAUUCUGAUUUGGUGAUUCUUCAAACUUGUCACAAGACAUCCUUUGAGGAGCAAUGCUGUCACAGCUAGCAAAAGUCUUUUGAAGAGGAUGGAGACAGCAACAUCUUCCUCCCCUGUGCUUUUCUGGACAGGAUUUUAUUCCUGUAAAUUAAUUAAAGAGCUCUCCAAACCAAAUCAGACCAAACUAUCCUCCCAGCUACAGAAAGCAUUUCAGUGUUCUGUGACCCUAAUUUCUUACUCUUCAGGAGCUGGCUGACUGACUUUAGUCUUUUGACCAAGAGAUAUAUGGUAUCGGUUAAAAGGCAACCUGCAAGCCAUUUGUCCUGUGCUGCUAGGCAUACAUGAUUAAACUCUGGAAAGGUUUUUUGAAUUACUGAACUCAACUGAAUUGGGACAUUACUUCCUUCAAGCACCAUGUGGCAAGAAGACUUGCAAAUGGUUGGCACCUGUCCUUUUUAAAUUGUAACAAGUCAGAUCAAUGAUGGAUGUGGCCUUCUGAGGAUUUACAUUUGAGGAUUAUUUAUGUUUGAUUCUUUCAUGGCCACUAUUUUGUUACACAGUCCCUGGUCAUUAAAUUUCAUAAUAUAGCUGAAGCCACUGUACCUAAAAUAAAUAAAAGUAAGUCAGUGCUGUGCCAAGCAAAUACAGGUGUUCAUUCACUGUAAAAGGAGUUCAUGAUUAAAAGUGCCAAUCAAACUAGUGAUACUAAAAGUGAAAUAAACCCUUGCUGUUCAAUACACAUGGAGCCACAUAACCUGGAACAAAGAAGCCAGCUAGAAAUUAUAAGCUGCUGAUGAGAUACUUCUGGGGUUGAACAGUAGCCACGGCCUUUAAUGACCAUGCAUCAAAAAGUGAAAAAGAAGACAGGAUAAGAUGGCAACUUCUCAUAGCACAGAUCACAUUUUCAGAACUGAUAAUACCACAAUCAGCUUCAAAUGUGAUAGGAGUAGAUGACAGGAAAAAGAAAGAAUUCUAGGGCUGGCAAAGAGGGAAUCUGUAAUACUCAAUUAAUUAUUCUGGUUCCAAUUUUAAUAUGAUUUCAUGAAAUAAAAAUACCUUAACAAAGCUGCUAGAUAUGUGUGCCCUCCAUGGGACCAGAACUGAUCAACAGUUCUGCGUCAAUACGAGACACUUUACUGUGAAGUAGCAUAGUUUCCUGCAUAGCAAGCAGGUGUGUCUACACAUGCACAUGGUUACAGUGCAGUAAACCUCGCUAAUCAUGAGUAGAUUUGCUACCUGCAAAUGCAAGUAGCAAAUUUAUUUGCAAUUAAUACCUGUGCAGUAGCGCUUGUGUAGAUGCCUGACAGGGAGCAAAUCUGCUGCCGGUCAUCUGGCCACCAGGGGCGGAAGAUUGCUCCCUGCCCCCAGGAGGUGCUUGCUGCUGGGCCAUGCUCUGCCACUGGAGGCUCGCCUCAGACUAUGUCCCCCUGACCCUACAGCAGGGAGCUCCAAGCCCCCUGCUCUGAGAUUUCAAUCAGGGAGAGGGGGCUGAGAGAUCAUUAUCUCCAAGCCCCUGCUCCGCUAUCUCAAUUGGAAAGCACGGUGCUGAAAUCCUUAUCUCUCAGUGCCAGCUCCAUGAAAGCAGGGACAGUAUUGAGAGAUCCUUAUCUUCCAGCCCAAGCUUCUGUCAUGGGGCUUAGUUUGGGAGAUAAGGAUCUCCCAGCCCAAGUCCCACAACUGCAGAGCUGGUGCUGGGAACUCCCUGGUGGCAGAGACUGGGGAGAUUGCUCUUUACUCAGCUCCAUGCUCAUGGGGCUGAGUGGGAAACAAGCUCCUCCGCCAGUUCCCCACCCAGCUCCGUGCUCAGCUGAGUGGGGAAUAAGCUCUCCAGCCUGUUCCCCAGCAGGGAAAGGCUCUGCAGCCUCAUGAUCAUGGAGUGGGGGCUGGGAAUUGUCCCAGUCAGGGGCGGGUCCCAGCCCUGUGCCCCAGUUGGGCAAUCGAGGUGCAGGGCUUUAAAAGAUC
Alligator mississippiensis (American alligator) is the source of this 8201-nucleotide long non-coding RNA. RefSeq lists it as uncharacterized. The record is from RefSeq and is a predicted model, not a curated record. Lineage: Eukaryota; Metazoa; Chordata; Crocodylia; Alligatoridae. The transcript is spliced from 3 exons.